GGGACACUUUUUAAAAAUAUAUAUAAUUUACAUUUUUAUUCUUAUGGUCUUUAAUAUUUUUAUUAAUUAGUUUACAUGUAUGUGUCUAUCUUCUCCCUAUUUCAGAAUAACAUGUUCCCAACCCCAUAUUGCACAGUCCAUUUCUUCACUAAAAGUGGGUGCUUAGUGGGUGCACUAAGUUGGUUUACAUGAAGGGAUUAUUACAUUGGGACACAAUACACACUAUAAAUAAAGAUUCACUUCUUGAGAAAUACAAAUGGCUUGUUGCAGGUGAAUAAAAAUAAGUAUGUAAUAAUUUAUAGCGUUCUUUUUAAUUAUCUUAAACAUUGUGCUUCAUAUUUAAAUUAAAAUAAAAACUGUCAGCUGAGCACAGUCCUGUAUUGCACCUGCUCUGGUCAAUGAAGACAUCCAGCUUCUCCUGUGUAGGACCUGCUCUACUCUACACAGUGAAGACAUUAACCUUCUCCUGUAUUUGACCUGCUCUGCUCAGUGAAGACAUCAACCUUCUCCAGAAUCGGACCUGCUCUGCUCAGUGAAGACAUCAAACUUCCCUGUAUCAGACCUGCUCUGCCCUGUGAAGACCUCCAGCUUCUUCUGUAUCAGACCUGCUCCGCUCAGCGAAGAUAUCCAGCUUCUCCUGUACCGGACCUGCUAAGCUCAGUGUAGACAUCCAGCCUCUCCUGUACCGGACCUGCUCUGCUCAAUGAAGAUCUCCAGCUUCUCCUGUACCGGACCUGCUCUCUGCUCAUUGAAGACAUCAACCUUCUCCUGAAUCGGACCUGCUCAGUGAAGACAUCAAACAUCCCUGUACCGGGCCUGCUCUGCUCAGCGAAGACAUCCAGCUUCUCCUGUAUCAGACCUGCUCUGCUCAGUGAAGACAUCCAGCUUCUCCUCUACCGGACCUUCUUUGCUCAAUGAAGACCUCCAGCUUCUCCUGUAUCAGACCUGCUCUGCUCAGUGAAGACAUCCAGCUUCUCCUGUACCGGAACUGCUCUGCUCAGUGAAGACAUCCAGCUUCUCCUGUAUCAGACCUGCUCUGCUCAGUGAAGACAUCCAGCUUCUCCUCUACCGGACCUUCUCUGCUCAGUGAAGACCUCCAGCUUCUCCUGUAUCUGACCU
Non-coding RNA from Pelobates cultripes (western spadefoot toad), 1119 nucleotides. The record is from the annotation of a GenBank genome assembly. Lineage: Eukaryota; Metazoa; Chordata; Amphibia; Anura; Pelobatidae.